RNAcentral lists this unclassified non-coding RNA (176 nucleotides) under uncultured Ascomycota. RNAcentral's name for it is "sequence contains ITS1". The record is from RNAcentral. Lineage: Eukaryota; Fungi; Ascomycota.
CACAAAUAAAUAUACAAAGGCUGCCCGCCGCUGUGCGGAAGGCUGGAGUAUUUUUUAUUACCCUUGUCUUUUGCGCACUUGUUGUUUCCUGGGCGGGUUCGCCCGCCACCAGGACCACACCAUAAACCUUUUUUAUGCAGUUGCAAUCAGCGUCAGUAUGUAAAAAUAAUCAUUUA